AUUUUUAUUAAUUUGGCAAAAAACUAGAAAUUAUUUGCAAAAUCAACUGUAUGUCUUAUUAAAUAUACAAUGCUUUUUGGGUGAUAUUUGUAUGGAAUUAUUGUGAAUAUCACUACAAUAAUCCUUUACAUUGAAGUACCAUCUAGAGGGUUUAUGUUAAGUUGACAUGAUCCAGAGAAUUAAACGACAGAUCUAUGUGGUAAAUGAAUGAAUUAUGAAAUAACUAUUUAUAAAACAACCAUAAGUGAUUUAAAGAUGGUAUUUUCAUGUGAUACAUUAUACAGAUGUUUAAACUUUCUAUGAAACUUCGCACAGAAUAUAUCUGGUCUGGACUGCAUUGUGAAAGAAAGUAGGCAACUUUUAGGUUUAAAGUUAUCCAUGUUUUGUUGGGUAGACAGCCAUAUAGACCUCAACAGCUAGAACAUCUGUUGUGAUAUCAAAAAUGACAUCACAGUCUUUUCGACGUUGACUCUGGGAUUUGAUUUGGUCCAUUAGACCAACUUUCUCAUUCCUGCAUAAUGCAUAGAUUUAAUAUAGAUGCUUCAGUUGAACAUGUAGAGAUUGUACUUUAGUAAAUAUUUAGGUCCACAUUUCAUUUGUUAAAUAAAAAGCACUUACUGUACUCUUGGAAACGGCUCUUUUCAUACCUGGAAAUUUGAAGCGGUUUUCCAGCUCUAAUCUUUGGGUGGAACGCUUUCACCCACUUGACUUGGAAACAAUAUUCAUUGUAGUUCUGAAUGUCAGGAUAACAUGUUUCUAUCUGGUUUCACACUGGUGCUUCAUAUGUAAUGCAGUGGCACAGAACGUACUUCGAGAUCAUCUCCAUCUGUGAAAACAACUACAAUGAGUGUUAGGUGUACAUUCCAAACCAGAAAACUAGAAUUUAGCAAAAUUAAAUACAAAAAUAAAAAUUGUACGGCUAAUGUCUUUCUUGUCCCAUUUCUCCCUUGAAACCACAUUUUAGUGCCAUUAUAUUUAUUAGUGGUUUGCAAGAAAUGCUGCUAUAUAUGUUGCAUUCAUCACAUGAUCCAUUGUUGUUCCAGAUACUGAUGUUCACUUGCCUCUCUGCCCAAAGUUUUUUGCCAUUCUGUGAAUGAAAGAAGUAGUUAGACAAUCUGGGAGCAUAAAUUGACCCCAAGACAGUUGCCAUAUCUUUUCAAACGCCAAAGAUUUUCUUUCAUUGAGUUCUGUAUUCCAUUGACUGUGUUCGACAGCUGUUUGUGUCUGGAGUACCACUGCAUAUUUCACCAGUUUCAGUGUUGAGGACUGUUCUGAUGUUUUUGGCGCUGUGCUAGUCUGCCUUUCAUGUGUUUGUAUGCCGUACUUCAAACAAAGAAAAAUAGGGGGAAAAAAGAAUUACAAAACAAAACAAAGCCAAUCUCUCUCAGACUCUAAAUGUUUCUCUGUGUUGGACUCUAUAUUCUCUGUAGAUGUGUUUUCAUGCCAUGGUGUUAUAGUGUUUCUGAAGACCGGGUUUGUUUUUGAAUAUCUUGCUCGUAUGUCAUCUCUUCUGAUUAACUAAUUCAAUUAUAUUUGUACAAUGUGUAUUUUUCUCUGCAGUACUGUAUUUCCCUGAAUAGAUAUCCUUGUCAUAUUUUUAAUCAUCGAUUAUUAAAAAAUUAUUUUUAUAUAUGCUUUGAGGAGGAUGUAGUUUGAGCUCGUUGCGCUCUGUUACUUGUCUUCAUAUCUUUGUUUUCUGUUGUGUGAUCUGUUUGUUCAUGCUAUCACUGACACAACGGUGAUUUUUGAAUUCAACACGAGUGAGUGAGCGAGCUUUUCCUUGAAAUUAUCACAUGUAAGUGUGGUUCAUUAUAAAAAAUGCCAUCCAUUUGAUUAUGUGUGUUGGAAAAUACAUUUUAGGCCCUGACAUGGUUGAUACAAUUCAAAACCAAAAAUUGCUUUUACAAAGAUGUUGGCUCAUGUACUCAUGAGAUAUUUCCAGGAAAUAUUUGAUGUCCUAGGUUGCUAUUUUGUCAUUGUCAAUCGAUAAAGUAUCCAAUCAGCCGUGUUGAACUGUAAUGCUGUAAAUGUCAGUAAUAAGUGUUCAAACUCCAGCAGAAUUUAUUGAUCACAACUUCAGUUCAUACAUGUCCAUUUCAGAGAGGUUUCAGACUCACUCUUAAUGUGAACCUGGUUGUUUGCCCUUUGUAAUCUUUCAUGACUAAGGAGAAAAAAAGUUCUUGUUGUUUUCUUGGCUUUAAUUUUAUUUAUUCAUUUUGUAAUGUUUCAUGUUGACUUUAAAUGAAUUGUUUUAUUUGUCUCAGACAGAACAUUCUGAAAUAUUACACUUUUAACAUGCAGAAGAGCCUCGUUCAUUUUCUGUCCUGAAUAUAACGGUUAUCAGUGGGUUGCAGUAUUUUCUCAUUGUAGCCAAUUUCUUGUACAGUUUUAUGCAAAUUUCACAUUGGAUGUUUAUGACUAUCUGCUGCCACAAACAAUUUAGAAUUUCUGUAGAUAGAAAUGACUGUGCAAUGGAAAAUAAAUGAUUUAAAAAUC
Long non-coding RNA from Carassius carassius (crucian carp), 2496 nucleotides. RefSeq lists it as uncharacterized. NCBI's taxonomy places the organism in Eukaryota, Metazoa, Chordata, Actinopteri, Cypriniformes, Cyprinidae. The transcript has 2 exons. The record is from RefSeq and is a predicted model, not a curated record.